Molecule: long non-coding RNA, 1545 nt
Filed under: Phaseolus vulgaris (common bean)
Lineage: Eukaryota; Viridiplantae; Streptophyta; Magnoliopsida; Fabales; Fabaceae
Description: long non-coding RNA (PVUL_LNC002044)
Source: RNAcentral
UCUCUAAUGGCCUCCGCAACAGUCACUCUUGUGUUAGCAAUACUGUCUCUAAGCUUGCCAUCUCAAAUCUCAGCUGAUACCUACUUGUACUCAUCACCUCCUCCUCCCAAGAAGCCCUAUUAUUAUCACUCUCCUCCACCACCUUCACCUCCUCCACCUAAGCCAUACUACUAUCAUUCACCACCACCACCUUCACCUCCUCCACCCAAGCCAUACUACUAUCACUCACCACCACCACCUUCACCUCCUCCACCUAAACCAUACUACUAUCACUCACCACCACCACCUUCACCUCCUCCACCUAAACCAUACUACUAUCACUCACCACCACCACCUUCACCUCCUCCACCUAAACCAUACUACUAUCACUCACCACCACCACCUUCACCUCCUCCACCUAAGUCAUAUUACUAUCACUCACCACCACCACCACCCAAAAAGAAGCCAUACUACUACCAUUCUCCCCCACCACCUUCACCACCUCCUCCUAAGCCAUACUACUAUCACUCUCCCCCACCGCCUUCACCUCCUCCACCUACGCCAUACUACUAUCAUUCUCCCCCACCACCCUCACCACCUCCACCUAAGCCAUACUACUACCAUUCACCACCACCCCCACCGAAGAAGAAGCCUUACUACUACCACUCUCCACCACCACCUUCACCUCCUCCUCCAAAGAAGCCAUACUACUACCACUCCCCACCUCCUCCCAAGAAGCCCUACAAAUAUUCAUCUCCCCCACCUCCAGUGCACCCUUACCCUCAUCCUCACCCCCAUCCCCAUCCACACCCCCACCCUCACCCUCCCUACGUUUACAAAUCUCCUCCCCCACCCCCUAAGAAGCCAUACAAGUACCCAUCCCCACCACCUCCAGUCCACGUUUACCCUCACCCUCACCCGCAUCCACACCCUCACCCUCAACCUCACCCCCAUCCACAACCCCACCCUCCCUACAUUUAUCAGUCUCCUCCACCACCCCCUAAGAAGCCUUACAAGUACCCAUCGCCUCCACCUCCCGUCCACCCAUACCCCCAUCCCCACCCUCUUCCUCAUCCCCACCCUCACCCUCUUCCACAUCCCCACCCUCUUCCCCAUCCUCACCCUCUUCCUCAUCCCCACCCUCUUCCCCAUCCUCACCCCCUCCCUCCUUACACUCCUCAUCCAAUCUAUCACUCUCCAUCACCACCACCACCUUACAAGAAGCCUUACAAGUACAAGUCCCCUCCACCACCUCCACACUACAUCUACGCAUCACCUCCACCUCCUUACCACUCUUAGACAGUGGUCAACUAGCAUAGUUCUAUGGUAACCUUCUUCAUACCUACGUACAUGCUACAUUAUUAUAAUUUCUCAUUAAUGGUUCCGCAUUUUUUUACAUCUAUACUUGUUCCCAAAAAAUGAAUACCAAACCCUCGUGAUCCCUGUCAAGGUUUUUAACUUGAUACGGAAAAUGAUUUUUCUGGUUUGGUUUUAUAGGGACCACGUACCCCUCACUGAAAUUGACAGACACUAUAAUAAUAUGUGCAUGUGUUCUAAUGUUUUGUA